UACGUGAAACCGUUGAAAGGGAAGCGAAUGGAGUUAGCAAUUCGCCCUGCCAGAUUCAGCAGCUCGCGCGCCGCGACGCACGCGCUCUCGAUCCGCAUGGACGAGGCGCGUGCGGGUGCGGCGUGCUGUCUGCGCACUUCUGGCGAGCGAGCGUCAGCGUCGGUUGCCGACGUGCGACAAGGACGCGGAAUGAUUAGAGGUCUUAUACGGGUGGCCUGUUGUUAUAGCCCCGCGCUCGCAUGGMUCGACGGCGACCGAGGCUUCCGGCGACGCGUGCCUGGCUGGCGACUCGAACGAUCGGUCCGGCAUGWCGACCGUGGCGGACGGCACGCCUGUGCGCUCGAACUGCUGCCGGCCGAUCGGACGGUGUUCGCACACUACGCGUCGAGGAUGCUGACGGMCAUACGGCUCCAUCCGACCCGUCUUGAAACACGGACCAAGGAGUCUAA
Molecule: ribosomal RNA, 449 nt
Filed under: Echinomuricea sp. c NF-2020
Lineage: Eukaryota; Metazoa; Cnidaria; Anthozoa; Malacalcyonacea; Plexauridae
Description: partial large subunit ribosomal RNA
Source: RNAcentral